This 935-nucleotide ribosomal RNA is filed under the name uncultured bacterium. Its description in RNAcentral is "bacterial SSU rRNA". It matches the Rfam family "Bacterial small subunit ribosomal RNA", at positions 8 to 916 of the family's 1533-position model. The record is from RNAcentral.
AGAGUUUGAUCCUGGCUCAGAAUGAACGCUGGCGGCGUGCUUAACACAUGCAAGUCGAACGAGAACGGGAUUGCUUGCAAUCCUUAGUAGAGUGGCGCACGGGUGAGUAACACGUAGAUAAUCUACCUCCAAGCCCGGGAUAACUAUUCGAAAGGAUGGCUAAUACCGGAUGAAGUGGUUUGACAUAAGUUGAAUCAUGAAAGAUUGCCUCUUCUUGAAAGCAAUUGUUUGGAGAUGAGUCUGCGGACCAUUAGUUUGUUGGUGGGGUAAAGGCCUACCAAGACUACGAUGGUUAGCUGGUCUGAGAGGAUGAUCAGCCACACUGGAACUGGAACACGGUCCAGACUCCUACGGGAGGCAGCAGUGAGGAAUUUUGCGCAAUGGGGGAAACCCUGACGCAGCAACGCCGCGUGAGUGAAGAAGGCCCUUGGGUCGUAAAGCUCUGUCGACAGGGAAGAAAUUACUUCAUAUUAAUAGUGUGUUGUAUUGACGGUACCUGUAGAGGAAGCACCGGCUAACUCCGUGCCAGCAGCCGCGGUAAUACGGGGGGUGCAAGCGUUAUUCGGAAUUAUUGGGCGUAAAGGGCGCGUAGGCGGUCUUGUCGGUCAGAUGUGAAAGCCCGGGGCUCAACCCUGGAAGUGCAUUUGAAACAGCAAGACUUGAGUACGGGAGAGGAGAGCGGAAUUCCUGGUGUAGAGGUGAAAUUCGUAGAUAUCAGGAGGAACACCGAUGGCGAAGGCAGCUCUCUGGACCGAUACUGACGCUGAGGCGCGAAGGUGUGGGUAGCGAACGGGAUUAGAUACCCCGGUAGUCCACACAGUAAACGUUGUUCACUCGGUGUAGCGGAUAUUAAAAUCUGCUGUGCCCAAGCUAACGCAGUAAGUGAACCGCCUGGGGAGUACGGUCGCAAGACUAAAACUCAAAGGAAUUGACGG